Molecule: non-coding RNA, 747 nt
Organism: Nannospalax galili (Upper Galilee mountains blind mole rat)
Lineage: Eukaryota; Metazoa; Chordata; Mammalia; Rodentia; Spalacidae
Source: the annotation of a RefSeq genome assembly
AUUGGGGGUUUAGGUCCUAUCUCUUCUGGACAAGACUUCAUGGCAUUCACAAAGCAGUCACACACCCUGUGGCUCAGUUUCGAGAGAAUCCACCAGAGGGCGAUGCUUCUUCACAUGUGGUGGGCUGUCAGGUGGCGAUUUUACAUGCCAGACAGCUGCUGUACAGUUUCUUGCUUAUUAUGAGUGAGGAGUUUCAACAGGAUCCAGUUGAGACUAGCUCUGUCAGUGUUGGUGUCCUGCAAGAAUCAAGGAUCACUUUCUCCCAUGAACAUGUUUCCAGACACGGGCUCAGCCCUCGUGCUCCUCUUAAUGCUCAUGAGGAGUAAUGGAGACUCAGUGGCACAGACAGAAGGCCUGGUUACUCUCACAGAGGGGUUGCCUGUGAUCCUGAACUGCACCUAUCAGACCACUUUCGCCGCUUCUUUCCUCUCCUGGUAUGUCCAAUACCCUAGUGAAGGGCUCCAGCUGCUUCUGAAGACGGCAACUGAAAACCAGAGGACGGAGAACCGAGGGUUUCACGCCACGCUUGUGAAGAGCAGUAACUCCUUCCACCUGCACAAGUCCUCACUGCAGCUGUCAGACUCGGCCCUGUACUACUGCGCUGUGAGUGACACAGUGUGGGAAACUGCAGGGGGAGCUGAGCACAAACCCAGGCUCACAGGAGGGCUGCAGGGGAGCGGCCCUGUGAGGGGGGAUUAUAGGAGCAGUAUUUGCUUAGCUUUCAGAGAAUAGUCCCACAUCUCAGGU